Molecule: ribosomal RNA, 588 nt
Filed under: uncultured Bacilli bacterium
Lineage: Bacteria; Bacillati; Bacillota; Bacilli
Description: bacterial SSU rRNA
Rfam family: Bacterial small subunit ribosomal RNA
Source: RNAcentral
GUAGCGGGGGAUAACUAUUGGAAACGAUAGCUAAUACCGCAUAACAAUGGGUGACACAUGUCAUUUAUUUGAAAGGGGCAAUUGCUCCACUACAAGAUGGACCUGCGUUGUAUUAGCUAGUAGGUGAGGUAACGGCUCACCUAGGCGACGAUACAUAGCCGACCUGAGAGGGUGAUCGGCCACACUGGGACUGAGACACGGCCCAGACUCCUACGGGAGGCAGCAGUAGGGAAUCUUCGGCAAUGGGGGCAACCCUGACCGAGCAACGCCGCGUGAGUGAAGAAGGUUUUCGGAUCGUAAAGCUCUGUUGUAAGUCAAGAACGAGUGUGAGAGUGGAAAGUUCACACUGUGACGGUAGCUUACCAGAAAGGGACGGCUAACUACGUGCCAGCAGCCGCGGUAAUACGUAGGUCCCGAGCGUUGUCCGGAUUUAUUGGGCGUAAAGCGAGCGCAGGCGGUUUGAUAAGUCUGAAGUUAAAGGCUGUGGCUCAACCAUAGUUCGCUUUGGAAACUGUCAAACUUGAGUGCAGAAGGGGAGAGUGGAAUUCCAUGUGUAGCGGUGAAAUGCGUAGAUAUAUGGAGGAACAC